This 495-nucleotide ribosomal RNA is filed under the name Hyboserica sp. DA4029. RNAcentral describes it as "partial 16S large subunit ribosomal RNA". It matches the Rfam family "Bacterial large subunit ribosomal RNA", at positions 1844 to 2600 of the family's 2925-position model. Lineage: Eukaryota; Metazoa; Arthropoda; Insecta; Coleoptera; Scarabaeidae. The record is from RNAcentral.
UUUAAAGUCUGAUCUGCCCUAUGAGGAGUUAAAUGGCCGCGGUAUUUUGACCGUGCAAAGGUAGCAUAAUAAUUAGUUUUUUAAUUGGAAGCUGGAAUGAACGAUUGGACGAGAAAAUAACUGUCUCAGUUUAAUUUUUUUAGAAUUUUAUUUUUAAGUAAAAAAGCUUAAAUUUAUUUAAAAGACGAGAAGACCCCAUAGAGUUUUAUAUUUGUAUAAUUAUUGAUUUUAUAGUAUUAUUAUUUUAGUAUUUAUAUAUAUAUUUUAUUGGGGUGAUAGAAAAAUUAAAAUAACUUUUUAUUAAUUUUUACAUUAAUUUAUGAUUAAUUGAUCCAUUAUUUAUGAUUAUAAGAUUAAAUUACCUUGGGGAUAACAGCGUAAUUUUUUUUUAGAGUUCUUAUCGAAAAAAAAGAUUGCGACCUCGAUGUUGGAUUAAAAUAAACUUUUGGUGUAGGGGCUAAAUAGUUAGGUCUGUUCGACCUUUAAAAUUUUACA